UCGGGAAUUUUGGGCAAUGGGCGAAAGCCUGACCCAGCAACGCCGCGUUGAAGGAUGAAGUAUUUCGGUAUGUAAACUUCGAAAGAAUAGGAAGAAUAAAUGACGGUACUAUUUAUAAGGUCCGGCUAACUACGUGCCAGCAGCCGCGGUAAUACGUAGGGACCAAGCGUUGUUCGGAUUUACUGGGCGUAAAGGGCGCGUAGGCGGCAAUUCAAGUCAUCUGUGAAAUCUCCGAGCUUAACUCGGAACGGUCAACUGAUACUGUCACACUAGAGUACAGAAGGGGCAAUCGGAAUUCUUGGUGUAGCGGUGAAAUGCGUAGAUAUCAAGAGGAACACCUGAGGCGAAGGCGGGUUGCUGGGCUGAUACUGACGCUGAGGCGCGAAAGCUAGGGUAGCAAACGGGAUUAGAUACCCAGGUAGUCCCUGAGCGGGCUGGCAAGGCGCAU
This 448-nucleotide ribosomal RNA is filed under the name uncultured bacterium. RNAcentral's name for it is "bacterial SSU rRNA". It matches the Rfam family "Bacterial small subunit ribosomal RNA", at positions 355 to 825 of the family's 1533-position model. The record is from RNAcentral.